RNAcentral lists this non-coding RNA (23 nucleotides) under Cricetulus griseus (Chinese hamster). RNAcentral also lists the same sequence under 1 other name. The record is from RNAcentral. Lineage: Eukaryota; Metazoa; Chordata; Mammalia; Rodentia; Cricetidae.
UGAUCACAACCAGUUACAGAUUU